AGUGCUGAUGCCACCGGGCACCGACUGCCGCUCAUCGUCAAUCAAUAAUCUAUAUAGGCGAGCCGCGAGUGGCGACCCCGCCCGCUGCCACUAUGCACACGUCAUCCGGCUGUCCUUGAGCUCGGCACAACUGAACAGCUGAUUCGCCGCUCCACAGCAGUCGAAUAACUGGACAAGCAUUAUUAUUACGGCGCAGUUGUUUUGUACUUUGGUCUUAGGCGUGUUGGUGUCCGUACUCCGUACGCCUUAGUCGUCGUUUUGUAAACAUUGCGUAUGCACUGCUGCGCUUUGAUUGUGUAAUUUUUUGUUUAUUGCAUUUCGGCUUUACAUCGUACGUGUCGUGUUGUCGUCAAAUUACCAACAGUGAAUAUACAGUAGCCCGUUUUUGCCCAAAUUCUAGUAUUGAAACCCCAAUUCCGGUCGGAAGCCUUUGAAAUGUCCGACGGCGAAGGAUCGGCGCAAACGGCCACUGUGGAAACGGGCCAAGUGGAACUGGAACAACAGCAGACCACGGUGAUCACCACCAAGGAGGAUGACGGUGAGCCAAAUCCGAAAAAGCUGAAACUGUCCGGUGGCGGAACGGACGGCAGACAGCAGCAGCAGCAGACGGUGUCGGACAAGUUGGAACACAGGCUGGGAGGCAUACUAUGCUGUGCCGUGUGCUUGGAUCUGCCCAGAUCAGCCAUUUAUCAGUGUACAAAUGGUCAUUUAAUGUGUGCUGGUUGCUUUGCUCACUUAUUAGCCGAUGCACGAUUACGCGAUGAAAUGGCAACAUGUCCCAAUUGUAGAGUUGAUAUUGCCAAAAAUACAGCAACCCGUAAUUUGGCUGUUGAAAAAGCAGUCAGUGAGCUACCUGCCGAAUGUCAGUUCUGCGCUAAAGAAUUCCCACGUAACUCUUUACAACAUCACGAACAACAACUUUGCUCCGAGCGCCCGGUAAAAUGUGGCUACAGUAAAAUAGGCUGUCCGUGGAGGGGCCCAAGUCACGAAGCUUCUGAACACGGAAAGGUUUGUCCACAUCCAUCGGCCACUGGCAAAGAUGUUAUGUCUGCCCUGGAAGCAAUAGAUCAAAAGUUUCAAGAAGAAAAACUCUUGUAUGACACUAUAUUCGAUUUAAUGAGUUUCGAAAAGAUCACAUUUAAUGAUUUGCAGUUAAAACCUUACAGAACAGAAGAGUUUGUACACAAAUUGUACUAUGAAACUGCAAGAUUUUCAGCAUUCAACUUCCAGUGGGUUGUGAAAACUCGUAUUAACAAUAUGCAAAGAGAUCCAGCGCUUAGUGUUGAUCGUCAUAUGUCUUACCAGGUAAAUGAUGCAUGGUAACUGUAGAAUCGAAAAUGUGUAUUAUUCAUAAAUAUUUACAAAAUUGUGUUGCUGUAUUUAUUGUAAUGUUUGUAAUAACUGUAAUUUUUUAAUUUAUUUAUUUUGUAGUGAAAACUGGUAAGUUAUAUUAGUUUUAAGACCCGAAAAGAACACAAAUACUAUAUAAUUACAUUUUACCCACUUAUAUAAACACAAAUGCGUAAAACUCAACCACAAAUAUCCAUGUGCGUGUCCGUCCUUUUUAGCGUUAGGUCACAACUCGACUUUGGAUACCGCUCAACACCAUAUUAUUAUAUAAAGGACUCUCGACUAAUAACCGCUGUGAGAGCAAUUGGGAUAAUCAUAUAACAGAAAGCCGAUGGAACAAGAUUUUUUCUAAUAUAAUAUUAAAUGUACACCGAUGCCAAGAGCGAACAUCACAAUACUUCUGCGACUUCAUGACACAUAAUACCAUAUUACUGCCGAAGAGAUAACAACGGAUGAAACAUCAUCAAAUCACCCAAUUUGGAUUGAACCAAUGGAUUUUUUUGUAUAAACAUUUUUGUUUUUUUCCACGUUUCUAAAGUAAAAACUUUAUGGAUUCUUUUUAUUAUUCUUGCUAGGUUAUGUUUUUAUAAUAUUGUAUAUUACAAACUUUUUAAAAAUCAAUUCAUGUAAUAAUAAAUAAUAUUUAUGGGUAAGCUUUGGUAAGUCAUUGUUCGCUAUGAUAUGCUUUUAUUUUCAUUUUUCUGUUGAUCGGUAAGUCUUGCUAUAACUUAAAAGCAUUGAUAAUAAUUUGGGUUGAGUUUUUGUUUUCAGGUGCGCUCGGACUAAUAUAAUGUAUAAUAUUUUAUUAUUAAUACUUACAGGAUUAUUUUAUAGGUCUUUACUCUAUUAUUUUACUAUCUCAAAAAUACUAAUAGUAAUUUUUUUGUUUUUUUUAUUCAUUCCUCUGUUUCCUUUGCACUUUGAAUUGCGUCAUCACUGUGCCCAUGUCCAAUCAACAGCUAAUACUGAAAACAAAGACAGCUACACCCAUGACCGUCCAUUAUCUAGUGGUUAAAGGACCGUUUGGAGAUAUGAAGGUGAACCCAAAAAUUUAUAAGUUUGAGUUCAACGA
RNA transcript from Adelges cooleyi (spruce gall adelgid), 2422 nucleotides. It is a transcript of the gene named cysteine and histidine-rich protein 1 homolog, with no coding region annotated. Lineage: Eukaryota; Metazoa; Arthropoda; Insecta; Hemiptera; Adelgidae. The transcript is spliced from 5 exons. The record is from RefSeq and is a predicted model, not a curated record.